AGAAUCAACGCUGGCGGCGUGCCUAACACAUGCAAGUCGCACGAGAAAGGGGAGCAAUCCCUGAGUAAAGUGGCGCACGGGUGAGUAACACGUGAAUCAUCUACCUCCGAGUGGGGAAUAACUGAGAGAAAUCUUAGCUAAUACCGCAUAAUACCUACGGGUCAAAGCAGCAAUGCGUUUGGAGAGGAGUUCGCGGCAGAUUAGCUAGUUGGCGGGGUAAUGGCCCACCAAGGCGAUGAUCUGU
This 244-nucleotide ribosomal RNA is filed under the name uncultured bacterium. RNAcentral's name for it is "partial small subunit ribosomal RNA". It matches the Rfam family "Bacterial small subunit ribosomal RNA", at positions 26 to 284 of the family's 1533-position model. The record is from RNAcentral.